This 74-nucleotide transfer RNA is filed under the name Promethearchaeota archaeon. RNAcentral describes it as "Candidatus Lokiarchaeota archaeon tRNA-Pro". It matches the Rfam family "tRNA". Rfam says of the family: Transfer RNA (tRNA) molecules are approximately 80 nucleotides in length. Their secondary structure includes four short double-helical elements and three loops (D, anti-codon, and T loops). Further hydrogen bonds mediate the characteristic L-shaped molecular structure. tRNAs have two regions of fundamental functional importance: the anti-codon, which is responsible for specific mRNA codon recognition, and the 3' end, to which the tRNAs corresponding amino acid is attached (by aminoacyl-tRNA synthetases). tRNAs cope with the degeneracy of the genetic code in two manners: having more than one tRNA (with a specific anti-codon) for a particular amino acid; and 'wobble' base-pairing, i.e. permitting non-standard base-pairing at the 3rd anti-codon position. Lineage: Archaea; Promethearchaeati; Promethearchaeota. The record is from RNAcentral.
GGGAGGGUGGUCUAGCCUGGUAUGAUUCUUGGUUUGGGACCAAGGGGUCGAGGGUUCAAUUCCCUCCCCUCCCA